This 2997-nucleotide ribosomal RNA is filed under the name Triticum aestivum (bread wheat). RNAcentral's name for it is "partial small subunit ribosomal RNA". Lineage: Eukaryota; Viridiplantae; Streptophyta; Magnoliopsida; Poales; Poaceae. The record is from RNAcentral.
AUGAAUCUGGCAACGGGCGCCAUGGACUCCCUACUCCCCAAGCUGCUCGAGCUCCUCAAAGGCGAGUACAAGCUCAAGAAGGACGUCAAGGAAGGCGUCAAGUCACUCGAGACGGAGAUGCAGAGGAUGCACACUGUCCUCCGCGAGGUGGCGGAGGUGCCGCGGGACCAACUCGACGAGCAGUUCAAGCUCUGGGCAGGGGAGGUGAGGGAGCUCUCCUUCAACAUAGAGGACGUUGUCGACAAGUUCCUGCUGCGUGUCGAUGACGGCUCUGAGACCGCCGGCAAUUCAAACAUGCUCAAACGGCUCACGGAGAAGAUGGUUGGCCUGUUUACCAAGGGGAUGGUUGGCCUGUUUACCAAGGUGAUGGCUCGCCAUGAGAUUGCCGGUGCGAUCAAGGAGAUCAAUAAGCAAGUCCAAGAGGUUGCUAACAGGCGUGCUAGGUACACUACCGACGGUAUUGUAGCUAAGUCUGCAGCUGCGACGUCCAUCGAUCCUCGCCUCCGAGCUCUGUACACGGAAGUGACAGAGCUAAUUGGCAUUGUUGGGAAAAGGGAUCAAGAGCUAAUGAAGUUGCUCUCAGAGGGAGACAACGUGUCCAAGAAAAAACUGAAGAUUAUCUCUGUUGUCGGAAUUGGAGGAUUGGGCAAGACCACUCUUGUCAAAACGGUGUAUGACAAGAUCAAAGGAGAUUUUAAGUAUAAGGCUUUUGUUCCCGUCGGUCAAAAUGCCACCGUGAAGAAGGUUUCAAGAGACAUCCUCCUUGAUAUUGGCAUGUAUCCAAGUCAGUUAACCAUGUUGGAUGAAAGACAGCUCAUCAACAAACUUCGGCAAAUACUCGAGAACAAGAGGUACCUCAUUGUAAUUGAUGAUAUAUGGGAUGAAAACCUAUGGGAAUAUAUCAAAUUGGCAUUCUCCGACAGUAAUGUUGGCAGUCGACUAAUCACGACAACUCGUAAAGUUAGCAUGUCUAAAUUAUGUUGCCCAUCUACUAAUGAUUCAAUUUAUCAAAUGGAACCUCUUAGUUUUGAUGAUUCAAAAAGACUCUUCUAUAAAAGGGUAUUUUCCGACGAGAGUGGAUGUCCUCGUGAAUUUGAAAAAGUGUCUAUAGAUAUAUUGAAGAAAUGUGGUGGAGUGCCAUUAGCGAUCAUCACUAUGGCUAGUCUUUUGGCUAUUGAUCAACGGGUAAAACCAGAGGAUGAAUGGAAUGUUUUGCUUCAGUCAAUUGGUCGUGGACUUACAGAAGUCCCCAGUGUAGAGGAAAUGCGGAGGAUAUUGUCAUUUAGCUAUUAUGAUCUACCCUCCCAUUUGAAGACAUGCUUAUUAUAUCUAAGCAUGUUUCCGGAACAUCACGAGAUUAGAAGAGAUCGGUUGAUAUGGAUGUGGAUUUGUGAAAGUUUUAUCCAAUGUGAAAAAGCAAACACUAGUCUCUUUGAGACCGGAGAAAAAUACUUCAAUGAGCUAGUGAAUAGAAACUUGAUCCAGCCGGUAUAUGGUGACGAAGGCAUGGUAUAUGCUUGUCGAGUACACGUUAUGGUGCUCGAUCUAAUUUCGUCCUUGUCAAGCAAAGAGAACUUUGUUACCAUAUUAAAUGGUACUGGUGAUGGCAUGUCUUCUAAGAGCAACGUCCGCAGGUUGUCUAUCCAAAAUGCUAGUAAAGAAGAACAUCAUUCCAAAAAAAGAAAAAGGAGAGAAGAACAUCAUUCGAAAAAAGGAAAAAGAAAAGAAGAACAUCAAACCACACCUCUCAAAUCUGUGAGUAUGUUGCAAGUGAGGUCCAUUGCUUUAUUUGAACCUGCUAUUGGUCUAAUGCUGCCUUUCUCGAGAUUUGUUGUUUUACGUGUAUUGGAUUUGACUGGAUGUGAUCUUCGUGAUCAGAAUCAUCUUAACAUUCGAGAGUUGGGGGGUUUAUUUCACCUAAGGUAUCUAGGUUUAGGCCAAACAGGAAUUUCUGAGCUCCCGGAAGAACUUGGAAAGUUGAAGUUUUUGCUGGUGCUGGAUUUGAGUGGAGAUUUUAUUAAAGAACUGUCAACGGUUAUUAAGCUGAGAAGAUUGAUGUGCCUACUUGUUUACUUCAAAUACAAGAGGCUUCCAGAUGGGUUGGGAAACCUGACAUCAAUGGAAGUGCUGCGUACGAUCCGUGGCAAUUCUAUAAGCAUUGUGAAAGAGCUGGGCAACAUGGAAAGAUUAAGGGAGCUCGGAAUUUUGUUUGAUGAUUUGAGCUUGGAGAUGGAGGAAGCUUUUGUGGAGUCACUAGGGAAAAUGUCCAACAUCCAGAGUCUAUACAUUACCGUCCGGGAUGAUGAUUAUGUACCCAUGGAUGUCUUGGGGGGAAGUUGGGUGGCCCCUCAACGUCUCCGGGAAUUUCUCAUAGCGAGAUCUGCCAAAUUCUCUACACUGCCAACGUGGAUAAAGAGGGGUCCAUCGCAUCUGUUACAACUCUCCAUCUUAAGGAUCUUUGUCAGGGAUGUGCGGCAGGAGGAUCUGGAAAUCCUUGCAAGGUUACCAGCUCUUCGUUGUCUCAGCUUGCGAAUGGAGGAUCCGGAAAUCCAAAGGCAGCUAGUUGUCGGUGAUGAUGGGUUUCGUUGUCUGACAUCAUUCGAGCUGUUUACCGAGUUUCUGGGCCAUAUCGUGUUUCAACCAGGAGCUCUGCCCAAGGCUAAACAAGUGAGGUUCAGUAUCGGUCUGCGGGCCGCAAAAGAGCCAGCAGCUGGUAAUGGUGGUGAUUGUUUUGACCUGGGUCUGGGGAACCUGCGGUCCCUUCGGGAGGUUCUUGUUGCAGCCAUCCGUUGGGGAGAGGACACCGAGCAAGUGGAGGAUGCGCUGGAGGAUGCCCUGAUGCACGCAAUCUGGGCCCAUCCUAACUGUCCUAGCCAUCAACUGAUCACGGUCCCGGACAUGAAGCGGCUCAUGAUAAGCCUGCCGGCUGCUAUUCCAAACUAUGGACGUAUGUCUGAGCGCUGGAGCAUGGCGGGCGACCUCUUGAGCGACGAGUGA